Long non-coding RNA from Sardina pilchardus (European sardine), 819 nucleotides. RefSeq lists it as uncharacterized. The record is from RefSeq and is a predicted model, not a curated record. The transcript is spliced from 3 exons. NCBI's taxonomy places the organism in Eukaryota, Metazoa, Chordata, Actinopteri, Clupeiformes, Clupeidae.
UGUGGCGGUCGUGGAAUUGCUGGAGUUGACUUUGGAGGUCGUAAAGAACCUCUGCGGUGAAACCUGUGUUGCCUCAUCUUCCCCUGGUAACGGGUGUUCCAUCAUUGGAGGAGCGUAACUUCCGGGUUGUGGGCUCGAGGCACAUCACCUCAGGGAGUGGUCUGCUGCUGCUUUGCUGCUUGCUGGUUUUGCUGUGUACUUCGCGGUUCAACUUGCUGCCGGCCCGAAACUUUGUGCUGUUUGCUACGCUACCUGCUGUUUGCUACCCUACCUGCUCUCGGCCGCGCCACCUCACUGGUUCUGCUGUUCUCUCUCGCUGCUCUGCUACUCCUCUACGGCUUCUUCCUGUCGGGAGAUCAGUGUGCUUGCCGCUUGUGGUGUUUGUUGUCUGGGUGAGUCUGUAUGCGUGUUUCAAACGUGGUUAGCGUAAGCGUGCGUGUGUAGUGUAACCUAGCAUCAAUAUUUGGUUCCUGCAUAGCGAAUGUGUGUAUGUGUGUGACUGUCGUCCACGGGCGCUUUCUUGUUUGUUUGGCUGUCUGUCUGUCUGUCUGUCUGUCUCUGUCUGUCUGUCCGCCUGUCAGUGUGUAUACUUUUUGUAUUGUCUUUUAUUGUUUCUGUGAGUGGGGGUUUAUUGGGUUUUGGUUUGGUUUAAUCUUUGUUUUUUGUUUAGUCUUUUUGUUUGGACAUGUAAUCAGUGUUGGCUUGACUAAUACCAUCUGGGGGCAGUACAGGGUUACAUGUGGGGCUCUUACUUCUGUUAUAUCGUUCUCUUUUUGCUGUGUCCCUUGAUUGGUGUAUUGGUUUUGCAUGUCAUUUUGU